RNAcentral lists this ribosomal RNA (468 nucleotides) under uncultured bacterium. RNAcentral describes it as "partial 16S ribosomal RNA". It matches the Rfam family "Bacterial small subunit ribosomal RNA", at positions 28 to 507 of the family's 1533-position model. The record is from RNAcentral.
GACGAACGCUGGCGGCGUGCUUAACACAUGCAAGUCGAACGGAAAGGCCCUGCUUUUGUGGGGUGCUCGAGUGGCGAACGGGUGAGUAACACGUGAGUAACCUGCCCUUGACUUUGGGAUAACUUCAGGAAACUGGGGCUAAUACCGGAUAGGAGCUCCUGCUGCAUGGUGGGGGUUGGAAAGUUUCGGCGGUUGGGGAUGGACUCGCGGCUUAUCAGCUUGUUGGUGGGGUAGUGGCUUACCAAGGCUUUGACGGGUAGCCGGCCUGAGAGGGUGACCGGCCAGAUUGGGACGGGGAACGGCCCGAGACUCAGGGGGGGGGGGGAGGGGGGGAAUGGUGCAAAGGGGGGGGAGGCCUGAGCCAGCAACGCCGCGUGGGGGAUGGGGGCGUUGGGGUGGUAACCCGUUUGCGCCUGGGAGGAAGGGGGGGUGAGGGUAGGGUGUAAAGAGACGCGGGCAAACCACGGG